GAAAGUUCACGGCAAAAAGGGUAAUUAUAUUUCUCCUUCCUCUCUUGAACUUCUCUGCUUCGGUCCCAUUCUUCUCCCACAACCCAGAUUUCUCAAUGAAUCCAAAGAUGGUUAGCAGUGUUUUUCUCAUUAAAAAAGACCCUUACUUCAAGCGGAAAUAAUAAUGAGGAUUGUUCAGGAAGGAGCUUUUGAAGCAAAGAUGUUGCUUCUGCUGCUGCUGUUGUUGAAUCGGUUGACCUGGAUCUCAGUGCUUCAACUUCUGGUCUCCGUAGAAACGCACUACUUGAGAAACUCAAUUGAGGAGUUGGAAUCAUCCGAGAGCUGAUCAAGAUCUGAAAAGUGGACACUGAACGUUUCUUCUGCGUUUUUCCUAGUCUUGGCACAUGAUAAAGUGAAUUUAAAGGCUAUUUGUCGAUGGAGACAAGCUUAACGUACGGAUUCACGUGACCAUAAAUGUUGAAAUGUUUAGCUUAUGUCUACAUAUUGCCAUAUCUUGGUCAUUUCAGAAUACUUCACAAGUUGAUCCCGACAGUCUGGUGGCUUUGGGUGGUUCAAGUGCCGAAGGUGUGUUACUAGACAUGAUUAAGACUGCCUCAAGCAUGAUUGUCCAGAUAUCACCCGAAGAGCUUUAGAAGAUGACCCAACUGGCUACCUCAUUUCAAGGAGGCACAAUUUAGAAGGGAAGGGGUUUUGAUGCAAUAUGCCAGCUAAAGCUUAUGUAUCCGAUUUUCCUUGUUUACUUCAUGGUGAUGGUCGAGCUGCCAACAGCACGUUCGUCGUUUUAAGUUUGCUUUUUGAGGAACUUCAGGAAAGAACCGGCUGCAUGUGCAUAUGUUGAUAGAGCAAAGCCGCCAAAUGAUGUCGAAUAUGACUGCAAGAUUGAUGAAUCAUGAAUGGAGUACUUGCAGAUGUUUGAGGGUGUGGUGUGAUUAAAUGGCCAAAAGCUAACAUAACUCCAGGAGAAGAGUGACCAAAUUAGAGUGGCUAGGUGAUAGUAGAUUGAAUUCAGUUUUAGUGUUCAAUUAUGUGAUUUCGGGUAGCCAGAAUUUAUUUUUAAAAUUGUACCAGAGAUUCUACUUUUUUUGAAAAUUAAUAAAAAUGUUAUUUUG
Molecule: long non-coding RNA, 1109 nt
Organism: Papaver somniferum (opium poppy)
Lineage: Eukaryota; Viridiplantae; Streptophyta; Magnoliopsida; Ranunculales; Papaveraceae
Exons: 5
Source: RefSeq, a predicted model, not a curated record